RNAcentral lists this long non-coding RNA (1171 nucleotides) under Canis lupus dingo (dingo). RNAcentral describes it as "lncRNA (ENSCAFG00020010759.1)". The record is from RNAcentral. Lineage: Eukaryota; Metazoa; Chordata; Mammalia; Carnivora; Canidae.
CCCCCAGGGAGCAGCCCCCGGGGCACCUACAGCCGCCCAGCCGCCCAUGCAGGACCCGGAGGCCGCUUGCCAUCCAUCUGUGAGCCCGUCCCCAGCACGACGCUGACCACCCCGCUCCCCAUCCACCUCAGAAACUGUUUGGUCGUGGGUCAGCGAGCUACAAGCCACGCGGCGGAAGGGUCCUCAUGCUCAGCUGAACCCUUCCCACCCCGCGCGGCCCCUCCUUGGUUCCCAAGUCCCAUCACCGUUGCUCUGAGUGAGGGUAGCCUUGACGCUGCAUUUAUAGCUGAGGAAGUGGCCCAGAGCACGGAGGCCCCCGCCCAAGUGCAUCCUGGUGGGCUGAGUCCACAGGGCCGUGUCUCCUGGGGUCUGGAGGGAGCCCCUGAGCCUCCCCAACCCCAGGUGUGGGACGACAUCAGGACCCACCUGGUCUUAGGUCAGACUCCCUGGAAGCAGAGCCGGGGGCGGGAAUCAGGGUGUGUGAGGAGCAGAGGGCGAGGGGAGCGUGAGGGAGGGGCCGAGCUGAGCUGGGUACGGCUCAGGGAACCUCGCCUUGACCCCGGCGGGCUGCCGGGCCGUGGGACCACCCAUCCCAGCACUGAGCUGUCCCCGCUGGAGGAAGAGGGGGCAUCAGGCUUCGGAACGAGCUCCCGUACCAGCCCGUCGUUGGCUCCCGGCCGCCCCGGGGGCAGGUUGGUGACUCCUAGUCAACCGGGGUCAGUCUUGGGGGGAGGGCAGCCUCAAGCCAGGAGCACCCUAUAUUCACAGCAGCUGGGGAAGGCAUGUCCAUUUAAAGGGCAUCCACUGACCACAGUAAAUAAGGGAGGCCCCCUCCAAUGCAGACCAGAGCCGUGACCGCCCAGCCCCAGAACCAGUUCGGACCCUGAGGGCCCCACAUGACUCAGGCCAGCCAAGAGUCCAGAGUCCCCACUCCGGUCCCCAGCGCUCCACGGGGCGGGGUGGGGGGGAGCCCAGAACCCGACCAUCCGAGGAGCCCUCUUUGUGGGUGCUGUUCCCAGAGGCCCAGGUCCUGAUCCCGAGCACCAUCCGGGCAGCUGGAGGCCGCAGGGGACCCCGAGGAUUCCCCCAGGAGUUGGGCUCUGGCGCUUCCAUCCCCAGUAACCGCCCCCCAUGCUCUCAGGUCGCCCCCACCCCCAGCCCCACCCUCACG